This 218-nucleotide ribosomal RNA is filed under the name Salmonella enterica subsp. enterica. RNAcentral's name for it is "partial 23S ribosomal RNA". It matches the Rfam family "Bacterial large subunit ribosomal RNA", at positions 293 to 503 of the family's 2925-position model. The record is from RNAcentral. Lineage: Bacteria; Pseudomonadati; Pseudomonadota; Gammaproteobacteria; Enterobacterales; Enterobacteriaceae.
UAGGGUUGUAGGACACUCUUUUGUGAGUUACAAAGAAAGGCUUUAGAUGAAUCGAUCUGGAACGAUCAGCCAAAGAGGGUAAGAGCCCUGUAAUCGAAAAAGUCUUUUCUCCAGAGUGGAUCCUGAGUACGAUGGAACACGAGAAAUUCCGUCGGAAUCCGGGAGGACCAUCUCCCAAGGCUAAAUACUCCCUAGUUACCGAUAGUGAACCAGUACCG